CCAACAUAUGAAGAAGGAUGUGUUUGCUUCCCCUUCCACCAUGAUGGUGCAUUUCCUGAGGCCUCCCCAUCCUUGCUGAAUUAUGGUACGUCUCUCCUUCAUGUGCUGCCUGGGGUUGAGGAGAAGUGGCAUAGAGAUACAAGCCUCCUGGGUGAUGAGAAAGACAGAGAAGCAUUUUUCAUAGAGAGUUGCCAGGAUUGCUCAGCAUCCAGAUCAACCAUGAAAGGCACCAGGAGAAUGAACAUCUGCAUUUUUCUUGUCCAUGAUUCUUCUACAUAAUGCUACUGAAGCGAAGAUAAUCUUUAAUUGUAGAAACAAGAAGAGAAGCAAAUAUAUUACUAGUAUCCAGAAGCUCCUUCACAGUUUUCAGAUAAUGCUAAUGAGCUAGUUCCUGGUUUGUAUCACAAACUUCUCCCAAAUUCUUCCCCUAAACAUUCCUUCAUGGUGGAGCUAAUUAGACUAUUGCAGCUCCACCGUUCAUUACUGCUUGUAUUUUGUAAAAAUUAGUGCAUAUGUCAUGGGCCUAGGGAUACAUCCAUUGCAGGGAAAUGGGAGUAGGGCAUUCCCAGUUUUAGCUAUAAUUGAAAAUUAUUCUUAGGGACGAAAAUGCCAUUGAAUAAUUCUGCCUUUUCUCCUCCUUGUUCUCUCUCUCUCUCUCUCUCUGUCUCUCUCAUAUCUAUCUUCUUUCUUUCUUUCUUUCUUUCUUUCUUUCUUUCUUUCUUUCUUUCUUUCUCUCUCUCUCUCUCUCUCUCUUUACUAAGUCUGGAAACCCUUAGAGUUUCUCUUGAAUAUAUCAAGCUAAUUAUUUUUAUUUUUAUUCACUACCUUUCAUGCAUUUCCUACUUCCAAUAAUCCUUUUUUAUUAAGUCUCCCAAUCCAAGUCCACCCUCACUCAAAAGUGACCUUCCCAGAGUAGGGUGUACAAUGCGGAGUCCACAUAAGCAUCUCUAUACUUCUAAGUUUUAUGCCAAGAGCAUGCUUAUUUUAAUAAGCAAAAAACAAGUAACAAUGAAGAAAAUAAUCAUAAAGUAAAAAUCCAAAAAAAUAGAAUAACAGAAGGUUUUCCUCAGAAUUAAAAAUAAACCUAUUUUUAUGCAGACAUAAAAUGAAAAAGUCUUUUAUGCACAGAUGUGUGAACCGGGACUAUAGCUGGGUAAUCAAAUGGAAAUAAAAGACAGUUUUUCUUACUUUAAGUCAUUUCACUAACAAGCCUACCGAAUGCAUUUGGAAACGAUCUUUCAUUGAUCAUUUUCUAUUAUUAAUUAUGGAUAAGCAGAGAUUUUUUCAAAAGCCCCUGAACCUGCUUAGCUUGUACAAAGAUGCCACAAAUCAGAGCCCACGGGUUACAGGAAUUAUUGAUCCUUCUAUAAAACGGUCAUGCAAUCUCCUUCCUGAAUCCAGUAAAAUACUGAAUAAUAGGCUGAAAAGACAUCACCAUAGUAUUAAUCCAAGUACUGAAUUGAACAAUCAGUGGGCAAUCUUUAGUUUUCUCCUUAUGUUAAUGGUAGUUCAAACAAUAACUUUGUAUUAUGUAUUUUUCUAUUUUAUGUUUUUCUUGCAAUUAUAACAUGUUUCAGAAAGUUUUUCUAGCAUCUCACCAUCCAUAAAAAUUCUCUCAGGAGGAGGAAGAAUUUUCCUUGUGACAAUUUCAGAGACAUUCUUAUUUUUAGAUAGAAUUUUUAAUAAACUCUAACAAUUUCCUGACUGAACUUCAGCUGGUACCCCUCCUUUUUCUUUUUUCUUUCUUUCUUUCUUUUUUCUUUUUUUUUUUUUUUGGUCU
Molecule: long non-coding RNA, 1780 nt
Filed under: Homo sapiens (human)
Lineage: Eukaryota; Metazoa; Chordata; Mammalia; Primates; Hominidae
Description: HSALNT0347923
Source: RNAcentral